AGUGGUUAAGCAUUUGGCUGCUAAUCAAAAGGUCGGCAGUUCAAAUCCACCAACCACUC
This 59-nucleotide transfer RNA is filed under the name Loxodonta africana (African savanna elephant). It matches the Rfam family "tRNA". Rfam says of the family: Transfer RNA (tRNA) molecules are approximately 80 nucleotides in length. Their secondary structure includes four short double-helical elements and three loops (D, anti-codon, and T loops). Lineage: Eukaryota; Metazoa; Chordata; Mammalia; Proboscidea; Elephantidae. The record is from Rfam by way of RNAcentral.